CUUCUGCUCUUUUACACCCCCAGGCGUCGGUCCACCACCAGUCUUUUGCCGGAAUCUUUUUAUUAAUUUGUGUAACGGCCCACGGAUGUCCUUCAAUGCAGCCAUCUAGACGGGAUAAGAUCGUAUAGGAUAACAGUCAUCAUCGGAGGCUACAAUUUUCCGAACCUACAACCUUCUGAGGAAUGCUAGGCCUUCAAGGUCUUUUGAUGUCACGCCGAUGGAGAGCAGGGUGUGGUCGAAGCGUCAGCCACGUUCCUGAUGAUCGGGUGGGACAUUGCGAGGACCACGGAGGUGGAAGUUACGAGGUCUCCAUGGAAACCAACGACGGAGCUCUCCAAACCAUCCUCAAUUUAUUUGUCCGCUAAAUGAGCCAAAACAGUCUCUAAUCCCUGUGCAAACAAUUAUUCGGAAUCCACACCCAUAGCUGGAGGUAUUCAGACCGGAGGAUUUGCAACUACGACGUCAAGAGCACGGAUGCGGAAUCGAAUGGGAACAAGGGAGAAGACGAAGGUGCUGCAGUUUCAAGUCACGGGCCAGAUGGGAAGAAUAGGACGGAGAAAAGGCGAAACAGAGGGGUCCCGAUGUGCAAGGAUCGUAGGAGACUUUGAGCGAUGAGCAAAAUUGGUGUUGAAUGCAUUGCAAGGUGAUGUCAUUCAUAAUGAUGCUGCGAGGAGGGGAAUUUCUAUCAACAUAGUACUGGAUUCUAGUUUCACGAAAUGUCCGGCAAGUGAUCACUCCUUUAGUUCCGCUCCGCAAAAUAAAUAUGUAGGGGUUGAUUACGUCGGAAGAUGAGUAAAUGUAGAGCGUUGCUUGAUUGUCCAACAAUGCGGUUUCUAUACCAAAUCCAGUUAAUUACCACCUUCCGGUGCAGUAGACAGAUUGAAACGUUAUACUUCCAGAAGAAUUAGCGUCGGAAGGAGAGAAGAAGCAAAUGUAGUCUAGUAGCAGUGGAGUACUAUUAAGUGGUGAAGUACUUUCAAACUUUUUACAACUGCCGCAGCACAAUCCAACACAGUCCAAGAAAUGAGCUUUGUUCUGGUCUGUCAAGCUGCGGAUCUGCUCAAGAGUUGAUGGCGGCAAUCUCUGUUUUCCAGCCCUGUCUUGAUGUAAGAGCCGUAGAGCUUCGUUUUCCAUUUUUCUGCAAUGCCAAAGUGGCUGAUGGAAGCAAGAUAGCCUUGAUGGACAGACUACCUUUUGCAAUCAGUUCAGCAAGGAGUUUGUAGCGCAUGAGAAGUUGAUGAUGAGCUCCGAGGACAUGAGAUUCAACAUCGACUAUGCCGCAGUGACGGUGCCAAAGGUAUUGGUACCAUCAGUGUUGGUGCCGGAGGGGGACCUGCGAUUUUGGGGAGCGGUGUUCGUGCCGUCGAUCAUCACGCUGCUGAACGCGAUCACCACCCCCAAGUCUCUGCACUUGUUGGUAUUUUGGAGAACGUGAUGUCCUUGCACCGGACAAAGGCGACAACAAUCGGGUUGUUCGACAUUGGGAACGUGAACGAGUGGUUGGUGACGGAGAAGUUGGGCAACUUGAUGAAGUACAAGUCUGCCAAGUGCAAGAAGUACACGCUGCAGAGGAUGGCGCGCAACAUGCUAGCCAAGGGAUGGAAGAUGUUAGAGAGGUUUGGGAGUUAAUUAGGUUGGUGACAACAAUGGCAGUGAUCAUGCAGAAAAGUGACGGUGAAGCUUUUUCCUGCAUGAUCACUAAGCUUAGCAAAGAGAGGUAGUGAUCAUGCGGGAAAGCCGUAGUGAAGUUGGUGAAGAGCAAUCUGCUGCUGGACAGACUUAGGAAGGUAUGUUUUUUCUUUUCUUUUCCAACCAGUACUCUGAUUGGUAUACCUGUAUACAUACCAGAUUAGUAUUUAAGAAGAUUAUCUGUUCGGAGUAA
Physcomitrium patens is the source of this 1882-nucleotide non-coding RNA. NCBI's taxonomy places the organism in Eukaryota, Viridiplantae, Streptophyta, Bryopsida, Funariales, Funariaceae. The record is from RefSeq and is a predicted model, not a curated record.